Perca fluviatilis (European perch) is the source of this 324-nucleotide long non-coding RNA. RefSeq lists it as uncharacterized. NCBI's taxonomy places the organism in Eukaryota, Metazoa, Chordata, Actinopteri, Perciformes, Percidae. The transcript has 3 exons. The record is from RefSeq and is a predicted model, not a curated record.
UUGGUGACGGAAGUCCUCUACACUUCCGGGUCGCUCACUCCGUGAGGUGUUUUGCUGUGCUACAGAUCUUCGGGUGGCGGGCCAUCCUUCACCAUACCGGUUGAACGCCGUAAAUGAAAAGCGAGUAACACUGAUAGCUGCUGCGGUUUGCAUGCUCGGAGCUGCCUCCCUCUGGGUCUACUAAAAUGCUGCUUGAACGGAAUGCUGAAGCCGCCGGAGAUCCCUGUUAGCUGUAACACUUCAACUACUGGCUGCUGUUUUGCCUAAGAAAGCUUUUGCCUAAGAAAGCUUUUGCCGAGGCUGCUGUCUGUUGAGAUUGCUGUU